RNAcentral lists this ribosomal RNA (465 nucleotides) under Vreelandella stevensii. Its description in RNAcentral is "partial 16S ribosomal RNA". It matches the Rfam family "Bacterial small subunit ribosomal RNA", at positions 338 to 795 of the family's 1533-position model. The record is from RNAcentral. Lineage: Bacteria; Pseudomonadati; Pseudomonadota; Gammaproteobacteria; Oceanospirillales; Halomonadaceae.
CCUACGGGUGGCAGCAGUGGGGAAUAUUGGACAAUGGGGGCAACCCUGAUCCAGCCAUGCCGCGUGUGUGAAGAAGGCCCUCGGGUUGUAAAGCACUUUCAGUGAGGAAGAACGCCUGGUGGUUAAUACCCAUCAGGAAAGACAUCACUCACAGAAGAAGCACCGGCUAACUCCGUGCCAGCAGCCGCGGUAAUACGGAGGGUGCGAGCGUUAAUCGGAAUUACUGGGCGUAAAGCGCGCGUAGGUGGCUUGAUAAGCCGGUUGUGAAAGCCCCGGGCUCAACCUGGGAACGGCAUCCGGAACUGUCCAGCUAGAGUGCAGGAGAGGAAGGUAGAAUUCCCGGUGUAGCGGUGAAAUGCGUAGAGAUCGGGAGGAAUACCAGUGGCGAAGGCGGCCUUCUGGACUGACACUGACACUGAGGUGCGAAAGCGUGGGUAGCAAACAGGAUUAGAUACCCGUGUAGUC